Molecule: unclassified non-coding RNA, 234 nt
Filed under: Bifiguratus adelaidae
Lineage: Eukaryota; Fungi; Mucoromycota; Endogonomycetes; Endogonales
Description: partial internal transcribed spacer 2
Source: RNAcentral
UGAACUCCGAGGGGGUGUUUGCCAACUCAGUUUUCAUGACUUGAACUUUCCAGACUCAUUACGCGUCUGGUGGUUUAAAAUAAAAGCAUGGACGGUCUUCUUGACUCAUCCGCACGCAAAAGUGUAAUACGAGCUGUCAAAGGCUUCAUUCACUUCUUGCUAGGACGUCAGAUGUAUCGAUUUAAUCCAUGGUCGCAGGAAAUCUGGGGACUACGCAAGUAGAACCUAUCCAUA